Molecule: ribosomal RNA, 250 nt
Filed under: uncultured bacterium
Lineage: Bacteria
Description: partial 16S ribosomal RNA
Rfam family: Bacterial small subunit ribosomal RNA
Source: RNAcentral
GACGAACCGUGCGAACGUUGUUCGGAAUCACUGGGCUUAAAGGGCGCGUAGGCGGCUUGCCAAGUCAGGGGUGAAAUCUUUCGGCUUAACCGGAAAAGUGCCUUUGAUACUGGCGAGCUCGAGUGAGGUAGGGGCAGAUGGAACUGUUGGUGGAGCGGUGAAAUGUGUUGAUAUCAACAGGAACGCCGGUGGCGAAAGCGAUCUGCUGGACCUCUUCUGACGCUGAGGCGCGAAAGCUAGGGGAGCAAAC